CCCUUUGCCCUGCUUUCCCCUCCCCUUCCUCUCCCUCCCAGGCUUGCAAAGAGAGGGAUUGCAAAAGCAGAAGCCGGGCUUGCAUCCUCCCGGGUGUUUGCACCGCCUGGAAGCCGGGCUUGCAAAAGACACAGAAAGUUGGACUCUUGGGAUUCCAAAUUGUGUCUUUAAACUUUCAUAAGGAAAUCCAGUCCAAGAGAAGCCGGGAUGUGGAUGGAGUCCAUGGUGAGAGAGGAAGGACUGAAUGGGAACAAAACUGGAAACAUGAACUUGAAGUCCAGCAGCAGCUGCGGAGGGUCGUUCCGCUCUUGGAGAAGCGCCUUCGAGAAACAGGAAAGGGAGAGGAGAACAAGUGGAAACUCAUCAGGAAAAAAGCAAAGUAUGUAGCAGCCCAGUUUGAAACAACUCUUCUGUACAAUUAAGCUGUAGGAGCUGUGCGGCCUGGAUCAGAGGCUCCAAGGUUUUGGCAGCUCCGCUUUGGUGCAGGUUCUUCCCUCGCAGCCAUUCCUCCAGCUGGCUGAUGUUAAACCUGGACACACACAAGAUAGCCGCGAAUGACCAAAAAAGCCUAUCUCCCCAAGGGGACUCAGGGCGGAUCACAAAUGCCGUUUGGACAGAAAGGACAGAACCAACGGAAAGGAGUGCUCUCACCGCAUCUCCGCUGUACUGCUUCAGGCAGUGAAGAAGGCGACAGGUGUUGGCCAGCCAAAAAGAUGUCAUUUCAAAAUCAUCGUUAUGUUUCUGCAAGGAACCCAAAAUAAAUAAUGAGAAAGAAUAAUGACAGGUUGCUUACCUGUAACCGUGUUUCUUCGAGUGUACUCUGUGAAUUCACACUAAUGGAGAGACUGCGCCUGCGCAGGUU
Anolis carolinensis (green anole) is the source of this 862-nucleotide long non-coding RNA. RefSeq lists it as uncharacterized. The transcript is spliced from 6 exons. Lineage: Eukaryota; Metazoa; Chordata; Lepidosauria; Squamata; Anolidae. The record is from RefSeq and is a predicted model, not a curated record.